GGAAGGGUGGCCGAGCGGUCGAAGGCGCACGACUGGAAAUCGUGUAGGGUCUAAAAGCCCUCGUGGGUUCGAAUCCCACCCCUUCCGCCA
Molecule: transfer RNA, 90 nt
Filed under: Elusimicrobia bacterium GWA2_66_18
Lineage: Bacteria; Pseudomonadati; Elusimicrobiota
Also listed under: 1 other name
Description: tRNA-Ser
Rfam family: tRNA
About the family: Transfer RNA (tRNA) molecules are approximately 80 nucleotides in length. Their secondary structure includes four short double-helical elements and three loops (D, anti-codon, and T loops). Further hydrogen bonds mediate the characteristic L-shaped molecular structure. tRNAs have two regions of fundamental functional importance: the anti-codon, which is responsible for specific mRNA codon recognition, and the 3' end, to which the tRNAs corresponding amino acid is attached (by aminoacyl-tRNA synthetases). tRNAs cope with the degeneracy of the genetic code in two manners: having more than one tRNA (with a specific anti-codon) for a particular amino acid; and 'wobble' base-pairing, i.e. permitting non-standard base-pairing at the 3rd anti-codon position.
Source: RNAcentral